UACAGAGGUCCCAAGCGUUGUUCGGAUUCACUGGGCGUAAAGGGUGCGUAGGUGGCGAGGUAAGUCGGAUGUGAAAGCUCGGAGCUCGACUCCGAAAUGGCAUUGGAAACUACCUUGCUCGAGGGUUGGAGGGGGGACUGGAAUUCUCGGUGUAGCAGUGAAAUGCGUAGAUAUCGAGAGGAACACCAGUGGCGAAGGCGAGUCCCUGGACAACUCCUGACACUGAGGCACGAAAGCUAGGGGAGCAAACAGG
Molecule: ribosomal RNA, 253 nt
Filed under: uncultured bacterium
Lineage: Bacteria
Description: partial 16S ribosomal RNA
Rfam family: Bacterial small subunit ribosomal RNA
Source: RNAcentral